Molecule: non-coding RNA, 647 nt
Organism: Pelodiscus sinensis (Chinese soft-shelled turtle)
Lineage: Eukaryota; Metazoa; Chordata; Testudines; Trionychidae
Source: the annotation of a RefSeq genome assembly
CCCCCGCGCUGUGCCAGACGCUGCACAAAGGCACAGGGAGGAGGAAGGAGAUUCUUUCUGCAGUUCCCGCAGACUCCAUGGCUGCACCCGGAGAGACACCCCGCAGCUUCGGUGUCUGUGCAGGUACCAGCCAGCUCCGCCCCCCAGCAACGGGGAAAAUGGAAUUUUGGGUCUAUUUAGUUUUCGUGGUGGGAGCUUUGCCAGGGGUCCGGCCCCAGAUCAUCUUGGUAGAAUCCGGAGGGGACGUGAAGAAGCCCGGAGACUCUCUGCGCCUCUCCUGCAAAGCCUCCGGCUUCACCUUCGCUGAUUACCGGAUGUGCUGGGUCCGACAGGCUUCCGGGAAGGGGCUGGAGUGGGUCUCUUAUUUCUAUGGGGAUACUACAUUCUACCUUGAUGCCGUGAAAGGCCGAUUCACCAUCUCCAGGGACAUCCCCAACAACCUGCUGUUCCUGCAAAUGACCGGCCUGAAGCCCGAGGACACCGCCCGCUAUUACUGUGCGAGAUGCACAGCGACACGAAACCUAUUGACGCUUCUGCAAAAAUCCAGCCUGCAGACCCCGCUGCCGUCGCAUGGGGGCAGCAGAGAGACACACAGACUCGAGACCGCGGUGCGGUGGAUGAAAGACAAGCCCGCCUCAAAGUUUUAA